UGGGGAAUAUUGGACAAUGGGCGAAAGCCUGAUCCAGCCAUGCCGCGUGUGUGAAGAAGGCCUUUUGGCUGUAAAGCACUUUAAGUGGGGAGGAAAAGCUUAUGGUUAAUACCCAUAAGCCCUGACGUUACCCACAGAAUAAGCACCGGCUAACCCUGUGCCAGCAGCCGCGGUAAUACAGAGGGUGCAAGCGUUAAUCGGAAUUACUGGGCGUAAAGCGCGCGUAGGUGGUUAUUUAAGUCAGAUGUGAAAGCCCCGGGCUUAACCUGGGAACUGCAUCUGAUACUGGAUAACUAGAGUAGGUGAGAGGGGAGUAGAAUUCCAGGUGUAGCGGUGAAAUGCGUAGAGAUCUGGAGGAAUACCGAUGGCGAAGGCAGCUCCCUGGCAUCAUACUGACACUGAGGUGCGAAAGCGUGGGUAGCAAACAGGAUUAGAUACCCUGGUAGUCCACGCCGUAAACGAUGUCUACCAGUCGUUGGGUCUUUUAAAGACUUAGUGACGCAGUUAACGCAAUAAGUAGACCGCCUGGGGAGUACGGCCGCAAGGUUA
Molecule: ribosomal RNA, 549 nt
Filed under: uncultured bacterium
Lineage: Bacteria
Description: bacterial SSU rRNA
Rfam family: Bacterial small subunit ribosomal RNA
Source: RNAcentral